Molecule: long non-coding RNA, 1389 nt
Filed under: Astyanax mexicanus (Mexican tetra)
Lineage: Eukaryota; Metazoa; Chordata; Actinopteri; Characiformes; Acestrorhamphidae
Description: lncRNA (ENSAMXG00005017867.1)
Source: RNAcentral
AGAGAUUGCCAACUGUGAACUGAUUGGUUUAGUGUAUCUCUUUCUGUGUGUGUUUGUGACGGAGCACCGGCUCUGCAGUGAACAGUCAGAUCUGUGGUUGGGUCGUCUGACGAUUGUUCACACAGACUGGUAAGCUUUGUUACAAUUGUAACCUAAACAGACUCUUCCACUAAACACACUCUAACCACACAUAUGCUCUAACCAGUCUCACUAACUACUGUCAUUUUUGUUUUUCUGUGUGUGUUUGUGACGGAGCCCCAGCUCUGCAGUGAACAGUCAGAUCUGAGGUUGGGCCGCCUGAAGACUGUUUACAGACCAAGCACCAGCUCUGCAGCAAACAGUCAGAUCUGUGGUUGGGCCGUCUGUCUACUGUUUACACAGACUGGUGAGCUCUGAUACUAUGGUUACCUAAUUAGACUUUCUAACUAAACAUACUCUCUAACCACACAUACUCUAACCAGUCUCACUAACCACAGAUUCUCGUUCUAUUGUUCUUUUUACUCUUCUGUGUGUAUUUGUGACGGAGCCCCAGCUCUGCAGUGAACAGUCAGAUCUGUGGUUGGGUUGUCUGAUGAAUGCUUAGAGAAUGGUGAGCUCUGUUACAAUUGUUACCUAAUCAGACUACCCAACUAAACAGACUCUAUCAACACAUAUACUCUAACCAGUCUCACUAACCACAGAUUUCUCGUUCUAUUGUUCUUUUUAUUCUUCUGUGUGUGUUUGUGACGGAGCCCCAGCUCUGCAGUGAACAGUCAGAUCUGUGGUUGGGUCGUCUGUCCACUGUUCACACAGACUGGUAAGCUCUGUUACUAUGGUUACCUAAUUAGACUUUCUAACUAAACAGACUCUCUAACCACACAUACUCUAACCAGUCUCGUUAACCACCGAUUUCUCUUUCUAUUGUUCUUUUUUUUCCUGUGUGUUUGUGACGGAGCCCCAGCUCUGCAGUAAACAGUCAGAUCUGUGGUUGGGCCGUCUGAAGACGGUUUACAAAAACUGGUAAGCUCUGAUACUAUGGUUACCUAAUCAGACUCUCCAAGUUAACAAACUCUUUAACCACACAUAUACUCUAACCAGUCUCAUUAAUCACAGAUUUCUUUUUCUAAUGUUCUUUUUAUUCUGUGUGUAUUUGUGACGGAGCCCCAGCUCUGCAGUGAACAGUCAGAUCUGAGGUUGGGUCGUCUGUUUACUGUUCACACAGACUGGUAAGCUCUGUUACUAUGGUUUCCUAAUUAGACUUUCUAACUAAACAGACUCUACCAACACAUAUACUCUAACCAGUCUCGUUAACCACCGAUUUCUCUUUCUAUUGUUCUUUUUCUGUGUGUAUUUGUGACGGAGCCCCAGCUUUGUUGUGAACAGGGCAGAAGAGCUCCGCUCAGACCGGCU